RNAcentral lists this ribosomal RNA (253 nucleotides) under uncultured prokaryote. Its description in RNAcentral is "partial 16S ribosomal RNA". It matches the Rfam family "Bacterial small subunit ribosomal RNA", at positions 525 to 777 of the family's 1533-position model. The record is from RNAcentral.
ACGGAGGGGGCUAGCGUUGUUCGGAAUUACUGGGCGUAAAGCGCACGUAGGCGGCUUUGCAAGUUAGAGGUGAAAGCCCGGGGCUCAACUCCGGAAUUGCCUUUAAAACUGCAUCGCUAGAAUCGUGGAGAGGUGAGUGGAACUGCGAGUGUAGAGGUGAAAUUCGUAGAUAUUCGCAAGAACACCAGUGGCGAAGGCGGCUCACUGGCCCGAUACUGACGCUGAGGCACGAAAGCGUGGGGAGCAAACAGGA